CACAGCCCGUCCCUCCUUCCUCUUCCUCAGAGCCCAGGCCAGGCCAUGUUCAGUCCACCUGAGAGGCCUCUGGAGGAGACGGGGUGCCUCUGGCGGCCCUUGCCUGAAAGCCCGCGGAGCUGUUCAUAAAUAAUAUGAAAACACCCCCGGCCCCUGCAGGUCCCACCUCUGGCUCUCAGCCGGCCCACAGUCUCCACUCCGGGAUCGCGGGGGCACCCCCUGUUCUCUCGCCCUUGGGAUCCCGUGGGAUUGUGUGGGAUCUCGUGGGAUCAUUUAGGACACCCCCCGUUCCCCCGUGGGAUCGCGUUGGGCACGGGGUUCCCUGACGCCUGGGAUCGCAUAGGACGGCCCCGGCUCUCUUCCCAUGUAAGCUGACUAUCGCUAAGUCCCCAGCGGCCGGCACACCCCCUGACGAGGAGUCACUGGGAGGGUGUUUUCAGAUGAGGCCAACUUUGGGUAAAGCAGAUGACCUCUGCACUGUGGGGCCACAGCCAAGCAGCGGAAGACGCCAGGGAGCAGUGAGGUCCGCGGAAGAAGAAGGAAUCCUCCGGAAGGUCUUACCCCUCCCCGGGUCACAGCCUCCUGGCCCACCCUGUACACCUCAGACUUGCCGGAAUCCACAAUUUUAGGAGCCAAUUCCUUAAAAUAGAUGUCUCUCUCUCUCUGAACAUGCAACUAAUGUCCAUUCAGCAAACUGCUGUCCAUCCUUUGUCUGUGAUUGCCUCCCGGGACUUGUAAGAUUGCCCCCCACACAGCCGGUGACCAGAACAUGUUACAGUCCAUCCCCCACACAUUUAAGCACAGAGGACUUGAGUUCAAAAUCCUUUCCAGAAACUGGAAGCAAGAAUAAAAACCACUAUGACAAUACAAAAACCAUUGUAAAUUCUAGGUAUUUUCCCUUCAAUAUUUUAAGAAACAUGAUUUCCUCCGGCAUGUCUUUAAGUGAACAUGAUUUGACAGUCUUCACUUUACUAAUCACAGACAUUUUAGAGCUGCGGACCUGUUUGUGGAGGCAGCGCUGUUGGCCGGGGUCACGGUGCUCGCUCGUGAAACAGGAGCUCUGCACUGGGUACAGAAGACACUUUGGUGUACAGGAACAACACAGUGCUGUCUCCAGGAGGCUGACGGCGCCCCCGGAGGCAUUUUGGCCUCUCCGUGUGUCAUGGCAG
Long non-coding RNA from Suricata suricatta (meerkat), 1169 nucleotides. RefSeq lists it as uncharacterized. The transcript is spliced from 3 exons. The record is from RefSeq and is a predicted model, not a curated record. Lineage: Eukaryota; Metazoa; Chordata; Mammalia; Carnivora; Herpestidae.